This 457-nucleotide ribosomal RNA is filed under the name uncultured bacterium. RNAcentral's name for it is "bacterial SSU rRNA". It matches the Rfam family "Bacterial small subunit ribosomal RNA", at positions 30 to 484 of the family's 1533-position model. The record is from RNAcentral.
AUUGAACGCUGGCGGCAGGCCUAACACAUGCAAGUCGAGCGAGAAAGCACUUCGGUGCGAGUACAGCGGCGGACGGGUGAGUAACGCGUAGGAAUCUACCUGGUAGUGGGGGACAACAGUCGGAAACGGCUGCUAAUACCGCAUACGCCCUAUGGGGGAAAGCGGGGGAUCUUCGGACCUCGCGCUAUCGGAUGAGCCUGCGUUGGAUUAGCUAGUUGGUGAGGUAAAGGCUCACCAAGGCGACGAUCCAUAGCUGGUCUGAGAGGAUGAUCAGCCACACUGGGGACUGAGACACGGCCCAGACUCCUACGGAGGCAGCAGUGGGGAAUAUUGCGCAAUGGGCGAAAGCCUGACGCAGCCAUGCCGCGUGUGUGAAGAAGGCCUUCGGGUUGUAAAGCACUUUCAAUUGGAGGAAAGGUUGCAGGUUAAUAACCUGUAACUGUGACGUUACCUUUAG